AAAUUUUAUUUGUUUGUUACAGAUGACUAUCAUUAACAACAAAAUCGGAUAAUGUGAUUUGUAAUCAAUUGGUGAGAACACUUCAAAUAAAAAGGAUGAUCAUGUUUCGUUACCUCGUUGUACUCGGGAUCCUCACUCACUCUGGGCCUAUCCCUUCAUGUCCAAAUGUUGACGGCCCAAACGCAGUAUAUUUUCCACAUGAAACCGACUGCUCAAAAUUCUAUAAGUGUUCAAAUGGUACCCAAUACUCACAUUACUGUCCACCUGGGCUUGAUUUCGAUCCUAUUCUAAGCCGUUGAGACCGACCAGUCACAGCUGGAUGCAGAAAACCCAGUUCCACAAAUAGUACUUAGUUCUUGGUCAAAUGAGGAACCCCAUCCAACUGAAGAGGCUUUGGCGACCAAGAAACCACGACUUACUGAGAAAACUUCCACAAACAGAAAGACUCCACCUACAGAAAAAUCGUCAACGACUCACAAAUGGCAAAGACCGUGGCGUACAAAAAAACCGUGGCUUACAGAGAAACAAUGGCCGACCAAAAAUUCAUGGCCCACGAAGAAAUCUUGGCCUACACAAAAACAAUGGCUCUCAAAAAAAUCUUGGCCGACCUAAAAUAUUUCAUGGCCAUUGUUUAUCAAGGAGCUGAUAUUCAAAGGUACCAGAAAACUCCUUGGAAUUCAAAUAUGCCAAAGAUCACUCUUUCAAUUAUUCUGCUGAUGAAAUCUGAAAUUUUUCAUAUUUUAAUAUUCUGUAUUCAAUAUCUAAUGAAGUUAGCUUACCUCUGAAGACUUAGAUGCCUUUUCGUCGAUAUAUAUCUUUAUUUGAAAUAGGAAUUCCUAAUAUACAUACAAAUCUUAAAAAUUAUGAUAAAUGUGAAAAAAUUGUCAAUAUCGCGAAAUAUAUGAAUACAUCAAUUAUAAUAGCUACUAGUAAUAAAAUACAAAUAGAUAAAAACAAUUU
Molecule: long non-coding RNA, 960 nt
Organism: Leptinotarsa decemlineata (Colorado potato beetle)
Lineage: Eukaryota; Metazoa; Arthropoda; Insecta; Coleoptera; Chrysomelidae
Source: RefSeq, a predicted model, not a curated record